Molecule: ribosomal RNA, 529 nt
Filed under: Phlebiopsis gigantea
Lineage: Eukaryota; Fungi; Basidiomycota; Agaricomycetes; Polyporales; Phanerochaetaceae
Description: eukaryotic LSU rRNA
Rfam family: 5.8S ribosomal RNA (bases 210-363)
Source: RNAcentral
UCAUUAUCGAGUUUUGAACGGGUUGUAGCUGGCCUCAUACUGUGGCAUGUGCACGCCUGUCUUCAUCCACUCUUCAACCUCUGUGCACUUAUUGUAGGCUGGUGAAGGGUCGCAUAGUAAUGUGCGGCUUGAAGCCUGGUCUACGUUUUACUACAAACGCUUCAGUUAUAGAAUGUCUAUCUGCGUAUAACGCAUUUAAUUUAAUAUACAACUUUCAGCAACGGAUCUCUUGGCUCUCGCAUCGAUGAAGAACGCAGCGAAAUGCGAUAAGUAAUGUGAAUUGCAGAAUUCAGUGAAUCAUCGAAUCUUUGAACGCACCUUGCGCUCCCUGGUAUUCCGGGGAGCAUGCCUGUUUGAGUGUCAUGGAAUUCUCAACUUCUAAUACUUUUUUGUAUCAGAAGCUUGGAUUUGGAGGCUCGUGCUGGCUCUCUCGUUAGAGUCGGCUCCUCUUAAAUGAAUUAGGCGUGAAUCACUAUGGAUCGCUUCGGUGUGAUAAUUAUCUGCGCGGUAGUCGUGAAGUAUUAAUAAA